CUUGCCUCACAUGGCUUCUCCUUCAUGGACAAAGACUGCCCCACUUUUCUACUGAGUGAUAAUCUUGGAGUGAGAUACGAUAUCUAAAGGAAGAAUAGAUUGUAGACCGUAUUAGUAACACGUAAAUCGUUAGGGUGUGUAUACAAGGUCUGAGAAGACGUAGAAAUAACUCGAUCAUGAUAUGAUUAUUGUUAUACGAUAUCUAAAGAAGAAUUAGAGUGUAGACUGUAUGAGUAACAAGUAAACUGUUAGGGCAUGUAUAAAUGGUCUGAGACUGAGAGAGCACUUGAUCAUGACGUGAUUAUUAAACUGUUAGGGCAUGUAUAAAUGGUCUGAGACUGAGAGAGCACUUGAUCAUGACGUGAUUAUUGUUAUACGAGACCUUGGAGUAAAAUACGAUAUCUAAAGAAGAAUUAGUGUAGACUGCAUUAGUAACAGGGUAAUCGUUAGGGCAUGUAUAAAAGGUCUGAGAAGACGUAGAAAGCACUCGAUCGUGAUAUGAUUAUUGUAAUCUAGCCCUUUCGAUUUUCGAAUGAUGACUCUUAUGACUAGACGUGCAUUGACGCAUUGACGAGAGAUUGUGCUUCAUGCUGUGAGAAU
RNAcentral lists this long non-coding RNA (600 nucleotides) under Actinidia chinensis (golden kiwifruit). RNAcentral's name for it is "long non-coding RNA (ACHI_LNC004993)". The record is from RNAcentral. Lineage: Eukaryota; Viridiplantae; Streptophyta; Magnoliopsida; Ericales; Actinidiaceae.